Cannabis sativa is the source of this 285-nucleotide long non-coding RNA. RefSeq lists it as uncharacterized. Lineage: Eukaryota; Viridiplantae; Streptophyta; Magnoliopsida; Rosales; Cannabaceae. The transcript is spliced from 2 exons. The record is from RefSeq and is a predicted model, not a curated record.
GUAGUCUGGUAUUGCUGAUUAUUAUUCUUCAUUUUAAAUAGGUAGUAGUAGAUAGUGAACCUUGUAUAUAGAGAUAAUCUUCUCAAGUUCAAGGUAAGAUCAACCUAAAAACUCAAAUCCUUAAGCCAUUAAAAUUUAGGUUAUACCAUAUUAUAUGGGUUGCAUUUGAUAUUCGUAUCCCCACUAAAUCUAGUCCUCAUACCAAACAUCCGUAAAACAAAAGGGACCUUGUGAGAUGACCUAUUUGAAACAAAAAUUUGUAAUGAAAUUUAGAACUGUGACAAA